This is a long non-coding RNA of Juglans microcarpa x Juglans regia, 2766 nucleotides long. RefSeq lists it as uncharacterized. NCBI's taxonomy places the organism in Eukaryota, Viridiplantae, Streptophyta, Magnoliopsida, Fagales, Juglandaceae. The transcript is spliced from 3 exons. The record is from RefSeq and is a predicted model, not a curated record.
CAUGAGAAAAGUUCCUUCAGUCUUAACUUUGAUGCUCUUUCGAAAGACAUUGGUGUCAAGGUUAACAUUUGCCUAUACUCAUUCCAACAUUUCAUAUGCCUUGUUCUGCAAUAUAAGAAUUUGAAUGCGCUUCAUUCUUUGUUAAACAGGUACCUGUCGAGGAUAUGAAGCAAUGAUUGCUCGGAUGUAAGGGUUGCUGAACCAGGGUUUGAAUGUUCAAACUAUUCAGGCGUAGGUCUGGGCUAGGCUCAAGUUCCCAUGGCAAUCGAUAGAAAGAAAGAAAAAGAAGCAAAAGUAUUAACACAUUGAAUUUUCAUUCCUCCAUAUACAUGGACCAUGGUAACCUUUUGGAUUAAAUUUUUGAAAAGUUAUCCUUUUUAAACUUCAAACGCCAUUAUUUUAUAUAAUGUGGCAGUUCCUUUAUUUUCUAGGUAGCCAUGGAAUAUUUUUCAGUUCGACUUCCAUUUAAAGAUGAUUUCUAUUAUCAUCAAUCAAGUGUCAAUCGUAUCUGUUACUCAUGAAAACAGAAGUUUAGCACGUUUGCUUUAAGAUUAUUUGUAUUUGUUUUAAAAGGAGUUUGCUUGGAGUUGAGAAAGAGCAUCCACUAAGUAUAAUGAUAUUAUGUUGUGUUGGGCACAUUAUUAAGCUUUAUAAAGAAGAUAUAUCAAGAUCUAAGUUCAAAAGGCGUCAGUAGUACUGACUUAAAUCAUACUUCCUUUAGGUUUAUAGAGGCUGGCCCGCAGGAGUUGGGACCUGCUAUAUUAGUAUCCCCCUCUUUUCAAGGUGUCAUUGGACGGACCUCAAGUACAUUGACAACCUGCAAGCAGUUAUCCGUCUUUCAAAAGUUCAGGCUAUCUGCUCUAUCACUGAUGUGAAUAUGGCUUCACCAAUGGUUUUUUAGUUGUGGUCUACUUUUGCGUGGUGUUUCAAUGAACUAUGAAGACAUCCCAAACAGAGUUCAUUUUACAGGGAAUGCAAAAUUAUUUUAAACAUCUUCUAUUGUCAGCAUUUGAUCCCCUGAAAUAUUUCCUUGCGACUCUCAGUUGAAUGUAUGACUGUGUUGGUUCCCAACUGCUUAAAUAUAUGGAUAACAAUGGCCAAACGUCUGAUGCACUUUUUGGAUGAUGCUAAGGAACUUUCACUAUCUAGGGUGGAGUCUAGCAGCGCUGGUUUUGUUGCCAUAUGCUAUCUCUUAUUCUACCCAUGUGCUGUAUGCCCUUAACCCCAAUUCAAACUCAUUGAUUAGUGGCUCCUUGGAAAAGGGUCAUGUUUCACCGCAGGGAAAGCUUGAGCUUGAACAUGUUAUUGAAGUCUGGAGGGUACCGCUUGGGUUCUCUAAAAACCUCACCGAAUCAGUGUUCUAUGAAUAUUUUGCUUGUGGAUUUGAGUCACAAGGAUCAGGUUCUUGAUCUCCUUCCUUUGCUUGGUGAAGUUGUAUGUUUCCUGGAAGAUGUCUGUCUCAGAAGUAGUUUCAGAUGAAAGUAGAUACAUGUAUUGUGGCGAUCAUAAUAUAUCCUUUGCUUGGCGAUGGUGUGAUAGGUUUCCUGGAAGAUGUCUGUACUUCAGAAGUAGUUUCCAGAUGAAAGUAGAUACAGAUAUGGUGGCGAUCAUGUAAUAACUACUGCCAAGAACAGUAUCUGCCAGGUUGGCAGGGUACCAAUUCUGGAUUGGGAUUCCUCACGGAUCCCAUCAUUUCAUUCACAGAGUUUUGGACAGAGAGUAUGACAAACCAAUUCAAUUUUGUAGUAUACCAUGAGCUGUUAAUCUAACAUUGAAUUCUUCCUCACUUUCCAAAGGACGGGAAUAGGUUUCAAUUUUAUAAAAUCCAAGUACUUAUUCCAAAUUGAUAACAACAAUUGGGACAUCAUCGGUUACCACUAAAAUCGUCAUGGUUUUGAGAGGGAAGUUCAUUUCCCACCUUGGGCCGCGAAGGGUUGAUUCCCCUGGGGCCCAAGCCGACCAAUGGAUAGUCCGGCGCAAAAGCAACGAAUGAAGGAGGGUAGAACUGGACCCGAGAAGACCCAUUAGAUACGGUGACUAGUCACGUCACCUACCCAAGCCACAACCCAUACUGCCGAACAACGAGCACGCCGCAUUAAAUGGCCAUAAGAACUAGCACGCAAGGUCAGAGCCUGACGUCUACUCAUCACUCCUGUAAUCACAACGGUGUGCACACAUCCCCUUCUUCUACAACAAGAGACAAACUGAUAAGAGGAAGAGCGACCCACAUAUAAUACGGCAAUGCAACAGCUGACAUGAUAGAGAAGGACCCUGCCACUAUUAUAACACUCGGUACACCCUUGCACGACCUGCUAGCAGUGGGCAGGGACUACUGUGACCAGGCAUAUAAGCACGUCUCGAGUUCAAGUAAAGGGAUCUGAACAUUUUCUCCUAGCAUUUUCUACACAAAAGAAUUAUUCUAAUUUAGACAUAAGAGGUGUCACUCGCUAGAGUCCUCAUCUUAGUGAAUCUUACAAGUCUUCGAGAGGAACUGCUGAGUUGCCCAGAUUACGAAACACUACAUCAAAAAGUUUUGCUUUUAAGGGUCUUUUCCAUUGACCACCCUUGCUCAUGUUUCAUCACGAAGAUAUUUGUGGUCGUUAUAGAUGAAUAUAGCGACAGACCACCUAAUUGCUUUUGUCAUGACAAGAUGAAAGUCUUGUCCACUGCUCCAAUGGCCACGCGGCCAUCACAUAUAGAGAUGCGGGAUGGAAGCACCAAACAUUAAACUGCAACUGUGAUGAGUCGAAAUCUUUUGACUAUUUA